UACGAGAGGCCCAACCGUUAUUCGGAAUUACUGGGCUUAAAGAGUUCGUAGGCGGCGCAGAAAGUAGGGUGUGAAAGCCCUCGGCUUAACCGAGGAAUUGCGCCCUAAACUACUGUGCUUGAGGAACCUAGAGGUGAGCAGAACAGAUGGUGGAGCGGUGAAAUGCGUUGAUAUCAUCUGGAAUACCGGAGGCGAAGGCGGCUCACUGGGGGUUUUCUGACGCUGAGGAACGAAAGCCAGGGUAGCGAACGGG
This 253-nucleotide ribosomal RNA is filed under the name uncultured bacterium. RNAcentral's name for it is "partial 16S ribosomal RNA". It matches the Rfam family "Bacterial small subunit ribosomal RNA", at positions 524 to 776 of the family's 1533-position model. The record is from RNAcentral.